This 72-nucleotide transfer RNA is filed under the name Candidatus Nutricula glyptotermitis. RNAcentral's name for it is "tRNA-Gln". It matches the Rfam family "tRNA". Rfam says of the family: Transfer RNA (tRNA) molecules are approximately 80 nucleotides in length. Their secondary structure includes four short double-helical elements and three loops (D, anti-codon, and T loops). The record is from RNAcentral. Lineage: Bacteria; Bacillati; Actinomycetota; Actinomycetes; Bifidobacteriales; Bifidobacteriaceae.
UCCGCCUUGGUGUAAUUGGCAGCACGAGGGUUUUUGGUACCUUUAGUCUAGGUUCGAGUCCUGGAGGCGGAG